CAUAACAGAGGGUCUGCCUGGGGGCUUUUCUUUGCUAAAUACCAAAGUUAGAGACCAGAGUCAGAGAGAAAGUCCUGAACACUGGAAGGUAGCUGGAAGGCAGGAAAUAAUCUGGUUUACAAAGGUGGAGAGUUUUAGAUGCUUUUUUAUGGUCUCUUUCAUGCCCAUUCUCAAAGUACUCCCUGUCUUCAGAUUGCACUGCUGGGAAGGCAAAUAGAACCUUCUUGACCAACAAACCAAGAAUAAUUUUAACAAAAUGUGUACCUGAAUGGCUUGACUAUGUCAUCUGACCCCUGAUUUCCUAAGAUCGCCUGUCCAAUUUGAGGCUCCAGUGGAACAGUACUGGGGGACAUCACAGGCUACUCAGGUUAACUGAAAGUCUGGGGCUGGGAACAAAGAGGAACUCAACUGCUCUUUCCUGGUAAAUGCCUGCAAACCUAGCCCUGAGGGAGCUUUUGAUGCCCCGGUGUGCCUUUCAGCAGAAAACUGAGAUUACUUCACAUCAAAACAGAGAAAGUGUAAAUAGCAAAAGUCUUUAUUUGAAACUUCAUUUGGAAAUUAAGACUCUCAUAUUUCCAAAAUAUAUUAUCAUAAGGUUACCAACUCUCUUGAGUGAGAUAUUUCUGGUGUUUGUGUGCUGUUAA
Molecule: long non-coding RNA, 644 nt
Filed under: Panthera leo (lion)
Lineage: Eukaryota; Metazoa; Chordata; Mammalia; Carnivora; Felidae
Description: lncRNA (ENSPLOG00000006164.1)
Source: RNAcentral